CCGGCGCCGAGGCGGCCACCCGAGACGCGGCGCGCACUCUCCGGCCUGCGCAGCCCGGCCCGGCCAUGGCGGCCCCCCGCCCGUCUCCCGCGAUCUCCGUUUCGGUCUCGGCUCCGGCUUUUUACGCCCCGCAGAAGAAGUUCGGCCCUGUGGUGGCCCCAAAGCCCAAAGUGAAUCCCUUCCGGCCCGGGGACAGCGAGCCUCCCCCGGCACCCGGGGCCCAGCGCGCACAGAUGGGCCGGGUGGGCGAGAUUCCCCCGCCGCCCCCGGAAGACUUUCCCUUGCCUCCACCUCCCCUUGCUGGGGAUGGCGACGAUGCAGAGGGUGCUCUGGGAGGUGCCUUCCCGCCGCCCCCUCCCCCGAUCGAGGAAUCAUUUCCCCCUGCGCCUCUGGAGGAGGAGAUCUUCCCUUCCCCGCCGCCUCCUCUGGAGGAGGAGGGAGGGCCUGAGGCCCCCAUACCGCCCCCACCACAGGUACGGAGGCCUGGGAGGGGCGGCUGCACUGGACACCCCCAAGGAGAGGAGAAGAGGGCCCUUUCUUCUUACCUCCCCUGCACCUCUGCCUUGGGGGUGGGGGGAUAGAGGCAUGGAAUAGGUGCUCUGACCUCUGACCCUCUAGCCCAGGGAGAAGGUGAGCAGUAUUGAUUUGGAGAUCGACUCUCUGUCCUCACUGCUGGAUGACAUGACCAAGAAUGAUCCUUUCAAAGCCCGGGUGUCAUCUGGAUAUGUGCCCCCACCAGUGGCCACUCCAUUCAGUUCCAAGUCCAGUACCAAGCCUGCAGCCGGGGGCACAGCACCCCUGCCUCCUUGGAAGUCCCCUUCCAGCUCCCAGCCUCUGCCCCAGGUUCCGGCUCCGGCUCAGAGCCAGACACAGUUCCAUGUUCAGCCCCAGCCCCAGCCCAAGCCUCAGGUCCAACUCCAUGUCCAGUCCCAGCCCCAGCCUGUGUCUUUGGCUAACACCCAGCCCCGAGGGCCCCCAGCCUCAUCUCCGGCUCCAGCCCCUAAGUUUUCUCCAGUGACUCCUAAGUUUACUCCUGUGGCUUCCAAGUUCAGUCCUGGAGCCCCAGGUGGAUCUGGGUCACAACCAAAUCAAAAAUUGGGGCACCCCGAAGCUCUUUCCGCUGGCACAGGCUCCCCUCAACCUCCC
Molecule: small RNA, 1146 nt
Filed under: Pan troglodytes (chimpanzee)
Lineage: Eukaryota; Metazoa; Chordata; Mammalia; Primates; Hominidae
Description: retained intron
Source: RNAcentral